AGAGCGAACGCUGGCGGCAGGCCUAACACAUGCAAGUCGAGCGCCCGUAGCAAUACGGGAGCGGCAGACGGGAUAGUAACACGUGGGAACGCGCCCUUCGGUUCGGAAUAACUCAGGGAAACUUGAGCUAAUACCAGAUACGCCCUUACGGGGAAAGAUUUAUUGCCGAAGGAACGGCCCGCGUCCGAUUAGCUAGUUGGUGAGGUAAUGGCUCACCAAGGCGACGAUCGGUAGCUGGUCUGAGAGGAUGACCAGCAUCACUGGGACUGAGACACGGCCCAGACUCCUACGGGAGGCAGCAGUGGGGAAUUUCCGCAAUGGGCGAAAGCCUGACGGAGCGACGCCGCGUGUGGGAAGAAGGCCUCGGGUCGUAAACCACUGUCGAAGGGGACUAUACUGAAGGUACCCUUGGAGGAAGCCCCGGCUAACUACGUGCCAGCAGCCGC
RNAcentral lists this ribosomal RNA (446 nucleotides) under uncultured bacterium. RNAcentral describes it as "SSU rRNA". It matches the Rfam family "Bacterial small subunit ribosomal RNA", at positions 26 to 518 of the family's 1533-position model. The record is from RNAcentral.